UCUCUCUCUCUCUCUCUCUUUCUCUCUUUCUCAUCUAUUUCUAUCGCAAACCUCAGCACAUGCAAAUCUCGCUAUAAAACCAAACAAAAAAGGAAUGAAAUCGAUAAAGCCGGCACCACACCAAACCGUUAUUGUGCAAAUGUGCAUUCUUGACCUUUUGCGUUAUCUAGCGGCUAAUGCGUCGUGUGCAGUGCAUUUACAAACGCGGGCGGCCGCGGCUGUGGUCGGAAGCCUUGGUAGCAGAAACGCGCCGGCACCACCAACAACAGAUUGUAUUCUUGGCGCGUACGACUGCGUCCUACACAGACAGCCGGGCAACUGAGGAAGGGAAAAGAACAUACACACACCACAAACAACCAGCGUGGUAGAAUGGGUUACAUUUGCAGUGUCAGAAGACAUCAUCUAUCGGGUGCUUUAUGGUUAGCAAAAAAAGGGCAAAGAAAUGAAUUGACGAAUGUAAAGGAAGCAUCGCGACUGCAUCAUGCCGCCACUCGCUGAGCCCGUACGCAGCAGCGUGCUGCGAGCCAGAAGGCAACAAACAAACCAACCACCAGGACCAGCAGGCACGACCUUCACAACUGGAGCCGCACAGAAAUGGUCCAUUUUGUGUGUGUGGAAAACGUGUUGUUUUUCUCACCCGCGUGUGGUAUGUUGGUUUUUUACACCCGUCCGCAUGAGGAAAACAUUCCAAGCAGGGGGAAAAUUGUGUUGUACGACUGUGGAAAUGCGGAAAGCAGACAAAACAUAGACACAAAACAUUCUAAAUAAUGCAAUAGUGCAAUAUUGCAUCACCGUAAGGAGUGGUCUAUACAAAAGAACGAAUUAUAACGGAAACCAUAUGAUACAGUCUGAAUAGUGGAUAAAGUUGUAAAGUAGAAAAAUAAUUGAAGCUCUUAGAACAUUGAUUUUGCUUAAUGAUAACGAAAAAGAACCUUGAUACAGUAGAGAUAACAGAAUAUAGAAUGUCAUACCAAAAUAAUGUUUGAAACUCAUUUAUCAUUACCACCGAUCGCGGUGGCAAGCCAAAGGAAAGCACAAAAGGGUCCACAAAACCGAUCGAAAGGCAACCAACGUGAUCCUCAUUGUGCCAGAAUGUGACAAUCAGAACGCUUCACGCCUGCACGACUCGGUACACUUGCAAGUACAGCAAAACUAAUAAAGAAGUAAUUAAACUCUUCGUCAAAGAAA
This is a long non-coding RNA of Anopheles gambiae (African malaria mosquito), 1188 nucleotides long. RefSeq lists it as uncharacterized. The record is from RefSeq and is a predicted model, not a curated record. The transcript has 2 exons. NCBI's taxonomy places the organism in Eukaryota, Metazoa, Arthropoda, Insecta, Diptera, Culicidae.